AUGUACCCUUGGUUGGAAAUGAAAACUAGUAUACAUCUUUCUGUCAUUUACUUUCUGCACUUUAAUUUUAUGUUAUUCAUCAUUCAAAACAACCAUUGCAUCUUAUUCUAAAUCAGAAAAUUAAAAAGAAAAAGAACUUGCUUAAAAAUCAACUAUUAUCUAACAAGUUUUAUUCAUCUCUCCUCUUAGACUGCACAUUCUAAUACUUA
RNAcentral lists this long non-coding RNA (209 nucleotides) under Lathyrus oleraceus (garden pea). Its description in RNAcentral is "Pisum sativum (pea) long non-coding RNA (PSAT_LNC030597)". The record is from RNAcentral. Lineage: Eukaryota; Viridiplantae; Streptophyta; Magnoliopsida; Fabales; Fabaceae.